This 356-nucleotide ribosomal RNA is filed under the name uncultured bacterium. RNAcentral describes it as "bacterial SSU rRNA". It matches the Rfam family "Bacterial small subunit ribosomal RNA", at positions 445 to 793 of the family's 1533-position model. The record is from RNAcentral.
AGGAAGGUGGGUAUGUUAAUAGCAUACUCAUUUGACGUUUAGCUGCAGAAGAAGCACCGGCUAACUCCGUGCCAGCAGCCGCGGUAAUACGGAGGGUGCGAGCGUUAAUCGGAAUUACUGGGCGUAAAGCGCAUGCAGGUGGUUUGUUAAGUCAGAUGUGAAAGCCCGGGGCUCAACCUCGGAAUUGCAUUUGAAACUGGCAAACUAGAGUACUGUAGAGGGGGUAGAAUUUCAGGUGUAGCGGUGAAAUGCGUAGAGAUCUGAAGGAAUACCGGUGGCGAAGGCGGCCCCCUGGACAGAUACUGACACUCAGAUGCGAAAGCGUGGGGAGCAAACAGGAUUAGAUACCCUGGUAG